Molecule: ribosomal RNA, 484 nt
Filed under: uncultured bacterium
Lineage: Bacteria
Description: partial 16S ribosomal RNA
Rfam family: Bacterial small subunit ribosomal RNA
Source: RNAcentral
AUUGAACGCUGGCGGCAGGCCUAACACAUGCAAGUCGAGCGGAUGAAGGGAGCUUGCUCCUGGAUUCAGCGGCGGACGGGUGAGUAAUGCCUAGGAAUCUGCCUGGUAGUGGGGGAUAACGUCCGGAAACGGGCGCUAAUACCGCAUACGUCCUGAGGGAGAAAGUGGGGGAUCUUCGGACCUCACGCUAUCAGAUGAGCCUAGGUCGGAUUAGCUAGUUGGUGGGGUAAAGGCCUACCAAGGCGACGAUCCGUAACUGGUCUGAGAGGAUGAUCAGUCACACUGGGACUGAGACACGGUCCAGACUCCUACGGGAGGCAGCAGUGGGGAAUAUUGGACGAUGGGCGAAAGCCUGAUCCAGCCAUGCCGCGUGUGUGAAGAAGGUCUUCGGAUUGUAAAGCACUUUAAGUUGGGAGGAAGGGCAGUAAGUUAAUACCUUGCUGUUUUGACGUUACCAACAGAAUAAGCACCGGCUAACUUCGUG